CCCUUAGAUGUUCUGGGCUGCACGCGUGCUACACUGAUAUUGCCAAUAUGUCAUUCUUAUCCGAAAUGGAUUGGGUAAUCAAGUAAUGAAAUUUCAUGCUUGGAAUCGGUAAUUGCAAUUUUAUCGUGAACGAGGAAUUCCUAGUAAGCACUAGUCAUCAGCUAAUGUUGAUUAUGUCCCUGCCCUUUGUACACACCGCCCGUCGCUACUACUGAUUGGGCGUUCAAGUGAGAUGCUUAGACCCUUGUUGCAUGGUUCAUUAUUGUGCUCCGAAAGGAAAAAGUUUCAAGCUUGAGUGUCUAGAGGAAGUAAAAGUCGUAACA
This 323-nucleotide ribosomal RNA is filed under the name uncultured eukaryote. RNAcentral's name for it is "partial 18S ribosomal RNA". It matches the Rfam family "Eukaryotic small subunit ribosomal RNA", at positions 1470 to 1796 of the family's 1831-position model. The record is from RNAcentral.